Cajanus cajan (pigeon pea) is the source of this 2033-nucleotide RNA transcript. It is a transcript of the gene named heat stress transcription factor A-7a, with no coding region annotated. The record is from RefSeq and is a predicted model, not a curated record. Lineage: Eukaryota; Viridiplantae; Streptophyta; Magnoliopsida; Fabales; Fabaceae.
CUUAAACACCUAAAACACUUGUCCAGCUUCCUUCCUAGAUAGGUAGCUGCUAUGACACACACACCACCCUUCUUAACUGCUUAAACGACUUUCCAAACAAGGAAACAUACUCCUCUGCAUUCUUCUUUCACAAACCAAAUUCCAAACCUUCACUUUUUACUCCACGUUUCACUUAUUGCCCUCAAUCCCAUUCCGAUUACCCUGCAUUAUAUCCACUUUUCCUCUGUUUUUUUCAUUCCUCUGCUUCUCUCUCCUCUGUUUCCAUUUUUCUUUUUUCUUUUUUACUUUUUCUAGUUGUAUGAAUUUUUCUUCUGUGUUUUAUGGCAAGUCCGAAUCUGCUUAUUUUCUUCCACACAUGAAGAUAAACUUGAUCAUCACAAGAGUGAAUUAAAUUAAAUUAACUUUGUUAGAAUCAUAAUCAAUCUAGUUUUUUUCCCCCCCAAAAAUGAACUAUUUGUACCCGGUGAAAGAAGAGUAUUUGGAAUCGUCACCACCAUCGUCUUUAUCACUAUCAACUCACGGAAUAGUUGAUGAGUCAGGGAUGGCUCCUGCUCCGAGGCCAAUGGAGGGGCUUCACGAAAUAGGGCCACCCCCGUUUCUUACCAAGACUUUCGAUGCAGUGGAGGACCCCACCACUAGUCACAUAGUUUCAUGGAGCAGAGGAGGUGCAAGCUUUGUGGUUUGGGAUCCACACGCUUUCUCCAGAGACCUUCUUCCAAGAUACUUCAAGCACAAUAAUUUCUCAAGCUUUGUUAGGCAACUAAACACUUACGGUUUUAGGAAAAUUGAUCCAGAUAAGUGGGAGUUUGCAAAUGAAGGGUUUCUUAGAGGGCAUAGACACUUGUUGGCAAACAUAAGGAGAAGGAAGCAUCCUUCCCAGCCUUGUCCCUCUCAACAAGCACAAGGUCACUGUGUUGAAGUUGGUCGUUUUGGCCUAGAUGAAGAGGUUGAUCGUUUGAAGCGUGACAAACAGGUUUUGAUGUUGGAGCUUGUGAGGCUUAGACAGCAGCAACAGAACACAAAGUCGUACCUUGAGGCAAUGGAGAAGAGGCUAAGAGGGACAGAAAUUAAGCAGCAACAAAUGAUGGCUUUUUUGGCUAGAGCCUUGAAGAACCCCACUUUCAUUCAGCAGCUACUUCAGCAGAAGGAGAAGAGGAAGGAGCUUGAAGAGGCCAUGUCAAAGAAGAGGAGAAGGCCAAUUGAGCAAGGGCAUAGUGGGGUUGGAGAAUCAAGCAGAGGGGAAUUAGGAAGGGCUAGUGUGAAAGCCGAGUCACUAGUGUUUGGAGAAUAUGGAUUUGAAGUGUCAGAGUUGGAAUUGCUUGCUAUGGAGAUGCAAGGCUAUGGUAGGGGGAGGAGGGAGCAAGAGGAGGAGCCUGAGGUAUUCGAGUCACAAGAGAGGCUUGAGAAAGAGCUUGAUGAAGGGUUUUGGGAAGAAUUUUUCAGUGAGGGUUUUGAGGGUGAAUUUGAUAUCCCACAAGGCCAAGAUGAAGAAGAUGUCAAUGUGUUGGCCAAUCGCUUUGGUUACUUGGGUUCAAGUCCUAAAUGAACCACAAUGGAUCAAGAUUAAUUAACCUUCAAGUAGUGAGUUUUUAUCACUCAUGUGGUGGAGGCAUCAUUGAUCAUUCCAAAGUUGGCAGGAUCAGGAUAUAAUGUGGAAACGAUUUACUGUGGUGUUUCUAAGUUCUAAGUUCUAACCCCCCAUUAUAUGAUGAUGAUGAUGUCCUUUUGUAGCACUUUGUAAAACCUAAAAAUUUCUCACUUUGCUCUAUGUUUGAUUAGGUAGGUUGCAGGUGUUGCUUGGACAAGAAUCUGUGGUAGUGAUAGCGAACGUUAUUUACUCAAGAUUAUUCAGAAGAUGUAGAAUGGAUACGAAGUAGCUGGUCUCCAAGAAUCAUUCAUAACAGUUGGUGGUUAACCUUGUCGGUUUGAUUUUUUUCAUCCUUUAUACUUUUUCAUUGCUUGGACUUCCUCAUGUGGUCCUAAAUAAAACGAGGCCACAAUCCACGAAUUUCAUGAUGUUAAUGUUUUUGUGA